UCGGGAAUUUUGGGCAAUGGGGGAAACCCUGGCCCAGCAACGCCGCGUGAAGGAUGAAGUAUUUCGGUAUGUAAACUUCGAAAGAAUAGGAAGAAUAAAUGACGGUACUAUUUAUAAGGUCCGGCUAACUACGUGCCAGCAGCCGCGGUAAUACGUAGGGACCAAGCGUUGUUCGGAUUUACUGGGCGUAAAGGGCGCGUAGGCGGCAUGACAAGUCACUUGUGAAAUCUCUGGGCUUAACCCAGAACGGCCAAGUGAUACUGUCGCGCUAGAGUGCAGAAGGGGCAAUCGGAAUUCUUGGUGUAGCGGUGAAAUGCGUAGAUAUCAAGAGGAACACCUGAGGUGAAGACGGGUUGCUGGGCUGACACUGACGCUGAGGCGCGAAAGCCAGGGGAGCAAACGGGAUUAGAUACCCAAUAGUCCCUGAGCGGGCUGGCAAGGCGCAU
RNAcentral lists this ribosomal RNA (446 nucleotides) under uncultured bacterium. Its description in RNAcentral is "bacterial SSU rRNA". It matches the Rfam family "Bacterial small subunit ribosomal RNA", at positions 355 to 825 of the family's 1533-position model. The record is from RNAcentral.